GAUGAACGCUGGCGGCGUGCCUAAUACAUGCAAGUCGAACGCUUCACUUCGGUGAAGAGUGGCGAACGGGCGAGUAAUACAUAAGUAACCUGGCAUCUACAGGGGGAUAACUGAUGGAAACGUCAGCUAAGACCGCAUAGGUGUAGAGAUCGCAUGAACUCUAUAUGAAAAGUGCUACGGGACUGGUAGAUGAUGGACUUAUGGCGCAUUAGCUUGUUGGUAGGGUAACGGCCUACCAAGGCGACGAUGCGUAGCCGACCUGAGAGGGUGACCGGCCACACUGGGACUGAGACACGGCCCAGACUCCUACGGGAGGCAGCAGUAGGGAAUUUUCGGCAAUGGGGGAAACCCUGACCGAGCAACGCCGCGUGAAGGAAGAAGUAAUUCGUUAUGUAAACUUCUGUCAUAGAGGAAGAACGGUGGAUAUAGGGAAUGAUAUCCAAGUGACGGUACUCUAUAAGAAAGCCACGGCUAACUACGU
Molecule: ribosomal RNA, 481 nt
Filed under: uncultured bacterium
Lineage: Bacteria
Description: partial 16S ribosomal RNA
Rfam family: Bacterial small subunit ribosomal RNA
Source: RNAcentral